This 291-nucleotide unclassified non-coding RNA is filed under the name uncultured fungus. Its description in RNAcentral is "partial contains 5.8S rRNA, ITS2 and 28S rRNA". It matches the Rfam family "Eukaryotic large subunit ribosomal RNA", at positions 668 to 961 of the family's 3401-position model. The record is from RNAcentral. Lineage: Eukaryota; Fungi.
AAGGAGUCUAACAUAUUUGCGAGUCUUUGGGUGGCAAACCCAUAGGCGUAAUGAAAGUGAAUGCAGGUGGGAUCCCCUUGGGGUGCACCAUCGACCGAUCCAGAAUUUUUAGGAAGGAUUUGAGUACGAGCACAUAUGUUGGGACCCGAAAGAUGGUGAACUAUGCCUGAAUAGGGCGAAGCCAGAGGAAACUCUGGUGGAGGCUCGUAGCGAUUCUGACGUGCAAAUCGAUCGUCAAAUUUGGGUAUAGGGGCGAAAGACUAAUCGAACCAUCUAGUAGCUGGUUCCUGC